AGAGUUUGAUCCUGGCUCAGAACGAACGCUGGCGGCAGGCCUAACACAUGCAAGUCGAGCGGAAACGAUGGAGCUUGCUCCAGGCGUCGAGCGGCGGACGGGUGAGUAAUGCAUAGGAAUCUGCCCGGUAGUGGGGGAUAACCUGGGGAAACCCAGGCUAAUACCGCAUACGUCCUACGGGAGAAAGCAGGGGAUCUUCGGACCUUGCGCUAUCGGAUGAGCCUAUGUCGGAUUAGCUUGUUGGUGAGGUAAUGGCUCACCAAGGCGACGAUCCGUAGCUGGUCUGAGAGGAUGAUCAGCCACAUCGGGACUGAGACACGGCCCGAACUCCUACGGGAGGCAGCAGUGGGGAAUAUUGGACAAUGGGCGAAAGCCUGAUCCAGCCAUGCCGCGUGUGUGAAGAAGGCUUUCGGGUUGUAAAGCACUUUCAGUGAGGAAGAAGGCCUUGGGGCUAAUACCCCCGAGGAAGGACAUCACUCACAGAAGAAGCACCGGCUAACUCCGUGCCAGCAGCCGCGGUAAUACGGAGGGUGCGAGCGUUAAUCGGAAUUACUGGGCGUAAAGCGCGCGUAGGCGGCGUGAUAAGCCGGUUGUGAAAGCCCCGGGCUCAACCUGGGAACGGCAUCCGGAACUGUCAGGCUAGAGUGCAGGAGAGGAAGGUAGAAUUCCCGGUGUAGCGGUGAAAUGCGUAGAGAUCGGGAGGAAUACCAGUGGCGAAGGCGGCCUUCUGGACUGACACUGACGCUGAGGUGCGAAAGCGUGGGUAGCAAACAGGAUUAGAUACCCUGGUAGUCCACGCCGUAAACGAUGUCGACUAGCCGUUGGGGUCCUAGAGACCUUUGUGGCGCAGUUAACGCGAUAAGUCGACCGCCUGGGGAGUACGGCCGCAAGGUUAAAACUCAAAUGAAUUGACGGGGGCCCGCACAAGCGGUGGAGCAUGUGGUUUAAUUCGAUGCAACGCGAAGAACCUUACCUACCCUUGACAUCGUGCGAACUUUCCAGAGAUGGAUUGGUGCCUUCGGGAGCGCACAGACAGGUGCUGCAUGGCUGUCGUCAGCUCGUGUUGUGAAAUGUUGGGUUAAGUCCCGUAACGAGCGCAACCCUUGUCCCUAUUUGCCAGCGAUUCGGUCGGGAACUCUAGGGAGACUGCCGGUGACAAACCGGAGGAAGGUGGGGACGACGUCA
RNAcentral lists this ribosomal RNA (1185 nucleotides) under Halomonas ventosae. RNAcentral's name for it is "bacterial SSU rRNA". It matches the Rfam family "Bacterial small subunit ribosomal RNA", at positions 8 to 1187 of the family's 1533-position model. The record is from RNAcentral. Lineage: Bacteria; Pseudomonadati; Pseudomonadota; Gammaproteobacteria; Oceanospirillales; Halomonadaceae.